AUUGAACGCUGGCGGCAGGCCUAACACAUGCAAGUCGAACGGUAACAGGAAGAAGCUUGCUUCUUUGCUGACGAGUGGCGGACGGGUGAGUAAUGUCUGGGAAACUGCCUGAUGGAGGGGGAUAACUACUGGAAACGGUAGCUAAUACCGCAUAACGUCGCAAGACCAAAGAGGGGGACCUUCGGGCCUCUUGCCAUCGGAUGUGCCCAGAUGGGAUUAGCUAGUAGGUGGGGUAACGGCUCACCUAGGCGACGAUCCCUAGCUGGUCUGAGAGGAUGACCAGCCACACUGGAACUGAGACACGGUCCAGACUCCUACGGGAGGCAGCAGUGGGGAAUAUUGCACAAUGGGCGCAAGCCUGAUGCAGCCGUGCCGCGUGUAUGAAGAAGGCCUUCGGGUUGUAAAGUACUUUCAGCGGGGAGGAAGGGAGUAAAGUUAAUACCUUUGCUCAUUGACGUUACCCGCAGAAGAAGCACCGGCUAACUCCGAG
This 490-nucleotide ribosomal RNA is filed under the name uncultured bacterium. RNAcentral's name for it is "partial 16S ribosomal RNA". It matches the Rfam family "Bacterial small subunit ribosomal RNA", at positions 30 to 507 of the family's 1533-position model. The record is from RNAcentral.